This 558-nucleotide ribosomal RNA is filed under the name Hanseniaspora uvarum. RNAcentral describes it as "partial large subunit ribosomal RNA". It matches the Rfam family "Eukaryotic large subunit ribosomal RNA", at positions 85 to 657 of the family's 3401-position model. Lineage: Eukaryota; Fungi; Ascomycota; Saccharomycetes; Saccharomycodales; Saccharomycodaceae. The record is from RNAcentral.
UACGGCGAGUGAAGCGGUAAAAGCUCAAAUUUGAAAUCUGGUACUUUCAGUGCCCGAGUUGUAAUUUGUAGAAUUUGUCUUUGAUUAGGUCCUUGUCUAUGUUCCUUGGAACAGGACGUCAUAGAGGGUGAGAAUCCCGUUUGGCGAGGAUACCUUUUCUCUGUAAGACUUUUUCGAAGAGUCGAGUUGUUUGGGAAUGCAGCUCAAAGUGGGUGGUAAAUUCCAUCUAAAGCUAAAUAUUGGCGAGAGACCGAUAGCGAACAAGUACAGUGAUGGAAAGAUGAAAAGAACUUUGAAAAGAGAGUGAAAAAGUACGUGAAAUUGUUGAAAGGGAAGGGCAUUUGAUCAGACAUGGUGUUUUUUGCAUGCACUCGCCUCUCGUGGGCUUGGGCCUCUCAAAAAUUUCACUGGGCCAACAUCAAUUCUGGCAGCAGGAUAAAUCAUUAAGAAUGUAGCUACUUCGGUAGUGUUAUAGCUUUUUGGAAUACUGUUAGCCGGGAUUGAGGACUGCGCUUCGGCAAGGAUGUUGGCAUAAUGGUUAAAUGCCGCCCGUCUUGA